RNAcentral lists this non-coding RNA (871 nucleotides) under Lerista orientalis. Lineage: Eukaryota; Metazoa; Chordata; Lepidosauria; Squamata; Scincidae. The record is from RNAcentral.
AGUUUUGGUCCUAAACUUGCCCUUGUUUUUUAUCAAAAUUAUACAUGCAAGCCUCCACACACCAGUGAGAAUGCCCACUUUUUUCCCAAACAGCAAGCAGGAGCGGGUAUCAGGAUACAACACCAACCUUUUAGCCAAAGACACCUUGCAAACGCCACACCCACACGGGCCCUCAGCAGUAAUUAAUAUUAAAACAUGAGCGCAAGCUCGAUUUAGUUAUGAUAAACAUGGUCGGUAAAUUUCGUGCCAGCCACCGCGGUUAUACGAAAGACCAAAAACAACGGCCUGCGGCGUAAAGUGUGACUAGAGACAUCAACCAACUAAAGGGAAAUAGCGGCCAAGUCGUAAAACACUACUGCACGCUAGAACAACAAACACAUGCCUUUAGACUUCUUCACCUCACGAAAGCUGAGAAACAAACUGGGAUUAGAUACCCCACUAUGCUCAGCCAUUAACAUAGAUAAUACAAACACAAUAUUAUCCGCCAGAGAACUACAAGCGAAAAGCUCGAAACUCUAAGGACUUGGCGGUGCUUCAAAUCAACCUAGAGGAGCCUGUCCUAUAAUCGAUACCCCACGUUUCACCUCACCACUCCUAGCCAAACAGCCUAUAUACCGCCGUCGCCAGCCUACCCUAUGAAAGAUAUAAAGUGGGCAAAAAAGUUUUUAACUAAUACGUCAGGUCAAGGUGUAGCACACGGAGCGGAAGAGAUGGGCUACAUUUUUUCAAAGAACAAACACGAAUAGUGUGUUGAAACACACACUUGAAGGCGGAUUUAGCAGUAAUAUGACUAAGAAAAACCAUAUUAAACCUGCUCUGAAGCGCGCACACACCGCCCGUCACCCUCAUUACAUGUGAUAUACUAUAAAAU